This 116-nucleotide ribosomal RNA is filed under the name Crocodylus porosus (Australian saltwater crocodile). The record is from RNAcentral. Lineage: Eukaryota; Metazoa; Chordata; Crocodylia; Crocodylidae.
GGUUGUAACCAAAACCUGGACUGAAUGCAUCCAAACUUGGAAGCUGAAAACAGUCCCUUGUCUGGCUAGUCCUUGGAUAGGAGACUACCUGGGAAUGCUGUAGGCAGUUGCUGCUA